This 451-nucleotide ribosomal RNA is filed under the name Glutamicibacter arilaitensis. Its description in RNAcentral is "bacterial SSU rRNA". It matches the Rfam family "Bacterial small subunit ribosomal RNA", at positions 46 to 498 of the family's 1533-position model. Lineage: Bacteria; Bacillati; Actinomycetota; Actinomycetes; Micrococcales; Micrococcaceae. The record is from RNAcentral.
GUGUUACCAUGCAGUCGACGAUGAAGCCCAGCUUGCUGGGUGGAUUAGUGGCGAACGGGUGAGUAACACGUGAGUAACCUGCCCCCGACUCUGGGAUAAGCCCGGGAAACUGGGUCUAAUACCGGAUAUUACCUCUUGCCGCAUGGCAGGUGGUGGAAAGAUUUAUCGGUUGGGGAUGGACUCGCGGCCUAUCAGCUUGUUGGUGAGGUAAUGGCUCACCAAGGCGACGACGGGUAGCCGGCCUGAGAGGGUGACCGGCCACACUGGGACUGAGACACGGCCCAGACUCCUACGGGGAGGCAGCCAGUGGGGGAAUAUUGCACCAAUGGGCGAAAGCCUGGAUGNCAGCCGACGCCGCGGUGAAGGGGAAUGACGGCCCUUCCGGGGUUGUAAACCCUCUUUUCCAGUGAAGGGGAAAAGAAAGCCGAAAAGUGGACGGGGUACCCUGGCA